This 425-nucleotide ribosomal RNA is filed under the name uncultured bacterium. Its description in RNAcentral is "partial 16S ribosomal RNA". It matches the Rfam family "Bacterial small subunit ribosomal RNA", at positions 354 to 796 of the family's 1533-position model. The record is from RNAcentral.
GUGGGGAAUCUUGCGCAAUGGGCGAAAGCCUGACGCAGCCAUGCCGCGUGAAUGAUGAAGGUCUUAGGAUUGUAAAAUUCUUUCUCCGGGGACGAUAAUGACGGUACCCGGAGAAGAAGCUCCGGCUAACUUCGUGCCAGCAGCCGCGGUAAUACGAAGGGGGCUAGCGUUGCUCGGAAUUACUGGGCGUAAAGGGCGCGCAGGCGGACAGCUUAGUCAGAGGUGAAAGCCCAGGGCUCAACCUUGGAAUUGCCUUUGAUACUGGCUGUCUUGAGUUUGGGAGAGGUGAGUGGAACUCCGAGUGUAGAGGUGAAAUUCGUAGAUAGUCGGAAGAACACCAGUGGCGAAGGCGACUCACUGGCCCAAUACUGACGCUGAGGCGCGAAAGCGUGGGGAGCAAACAGGAUUAGAUACCCGAGUAGUCC